UGCAUAUUUUGUUAAGAAGAUAUUAAUAAAAGUUGUUCGUCUUGAUGAGGGCUACAACUUUGCUUAAUAUCUUUUUAACAAAUUAUGCGUCUUUAAGGAGAUACGUCUGUGCAUGCGCAAUACCGUAACUCCUUACGCUUGCAUAUUUUGUUAGGAAGAUAUUAAUAAAAGCUGUUCGUCUUGAUGAGGGCUACAACUUUGCUUAAUAUCUUUUUAACAAAUUAUGCG
Molecule: non-coding RNA, 228 nt
Organism: Paramuricea clavata
Lineage: Eukaryota; Metazoa; Cnidaria; Anthozoa; Malacalcyonacea; Plexauridae
Source: the annotation of a GenBank genome assembly